Molecule: ribosomal RNA, 513 nt
Filed under: uncultured bacterium
Lineage: Bacteria
Description: partial 16S ribosomal RNA
Rfam family: Bacterial small subunit ribosomal RNA
Source: RNAcentral
GACGAACGCUGGCGGCGUGCUUAACACAUGCAAGUCGAACGAAAAGAGGGAAAGAGCUUGCUCUUUCCGGAAUUGAGUGGCAAACGGGUGAGUAACACGUAAACAACCUGCCUUCAGGAUGGGGACAACAGACGGAAACGACUGCUAAUACCGAAUAAGUUCCAAGAGCCGCAUGGCCCAUGGAAGAAAAGGUGGCCUCUACCUGUAAGCUAUCGCCUGAGGAGGGGUUUGCGUCUGAUUAGCUGGUUGGAGGGGUAACGGCCCACCAAGGCGACGAUCAGUAGCCGGUCUGAGAGGAUGAACGGCCACACUGGAACUGAGACACGGUCCAGACUCCUACGGGAGGCAGCAGUGGGGAAUCUUCCGCAAUGGGCGAAAGCCUGACGGAGCAACGCCGCGUGAGUGAUGACGGCCUUCGGGUUGUAAAACUCUGUGAUCCGGGACGAAAAGGCAGAGUGCGAAGAACAAACUGCAUUGACGGUACCGGAAAAGCAAGCCACGGCUAACUACGUG